CCGAGUUUACAACUCCCAAACCCCUGUGAACAUACCUUUAUGUUGCCUGGGCCGGCGGAUCAGCCCGCGCCCCGUAAAACGGGACGGCGCCCGCCGCAGGAAACCCCUAAACUCUGUUUUUAGUGGAACUUCUGAAGUAUAAAAAACAAAUAAAUCA
This 157-nucleotide unclassified non-coding RNA is filed under the name soil metagenome. RNAcentral describes it as "partial internal transcribed spacer 1". The record is from RNAcentral.